This 440-nucleotide ribosomal RNA is filed under the name uncultured bacterium. RNAcentral describes it as "bacterial SSU rRNA". It matches the Rfam family "Bacterial small subunit ribosomal RNA", at positions 338 to 769 of the family's 1533-position model. The record is from RNAcentral.
CCUACGGGAGGCAGCAGUCGGGAAUUUUGGGCAAUGGGCGAAAGCCUGACCCAGCAACGCCGCGUGAGGGAUGAAGGCCCUCGGGUCGUAAACCUCUGUCGGGAGGGAAGAACGGUUCACGUUCGAACAGGACGGGAGCCUGACGGUACCUCCAAAGGAAGCACCGGCUAACUCCGUGCCAGCAGCCGCGGUAAUACGGAGGGUGCAAGCGUUGUUCGGAAUCAUUGGGCGUAAAGCGCGUGUAGGCGGCUUGGCAAGUCGGUUGUGAAAGCCCGGGGCCCAACCCCGGAACUGCAUCUGAAACUGCCUGGCUAGAGUCCCGGAGAGGAAGGCAGAAUUCCCGGUGUAGGGGUGAAAUCCGUAGAUAUCGGGAGGAAUACCAGCGGCGAAGGCGGCCUUCUGGACGGUGACUGACGCUGAGACGCGAAAGCGUGGGGAGC